RNAcentral lists this ribosomal RNA (253 nucleotides) under uncultured bacterium. RNAcentral describes it as "partial 16S ribosomal RNA". It matches the Rfam family "Bacterial small subunit ribosomal RNA", at positions 524 to 776 of the family's 1533-position model. The record is from RNAcentral.
UACAGAGGGUGCGAGCGUUAAUCGGAAUUACUGGGCGUAAAGCGCACGUAGUCGGCUUUGCAAGUCGGUUGUGAAAUCCCCGGGCUCAACCUGGGAACUGCAUCCGAGACUGCAUUGCUAGAGUAUGGGAGAGGAAAGCGGAAUUUCCGGUGUAGCGGUGAAAUGCGUAGAUAUCGGAAGGAACAUCAGUGGCGAAAGCGGCUUCCUGGACCAGCACCGACGUUCAGGCACGAAAGCGUGGGGAGCAAACAGG